This 791-nucleotide ribosomal RNA is filed under the name uncultured bacterium. Its description in RNAcentral is "bacterial SSU rRNA". It matches the Rfam family "Bacterial small subunit ribosomal RNA", at positions 8 to 796 of the family's 1533-position model. The record is from RNAcentral.
AGAGUUUGAUCAUGGCUCAGGAUGAACGCUAGCGGCAGGCCUAAUACAUGCAAGCCGAACGGCAAGCUUGGUAGCAAUAUCAAGCCUAGAGUGGCGUAAGGGUGCGUAACACGUAUGCAAUCUGCCCACAACAGGAGGAUAGCUCCCCGAAAGGGGAAUUAACCCUCCAUAGGACCACACGAGGGCAUCUGAGAGUGGUUAAACCAAAAGGGGUUGUGGAUGAGCAUGCGGUUGAUUAGCUAGUUGGUAGUGUAACGGACUACCAAGGCAAUGAUCAAUAGGGGAACUGAGAGGUUUAUCCCCCACACUGGCACUGAGAUACGGGCCAGACUCCUACGGGAGGCAGCAGUAGGGAAUAUUGGACAAUGGGCGAGAGCCUGAUCCAGCCAUGCCGCGUGCAGGAAGAAGGCCUUCUGGGUUGUAAACUGCUUUUGCCAGGGGAUAAAAAAGUCCCUGCGGGGAAAAUUGAAGGUACCUGGUGAAUAAGCCACGGCUAACUACGUGCCAGCAGCCGCGGUAAUACGUAGGUGGCAAGCGUUGUCCGGAUUUAUUGGGUUUAAAGGGUGCGUAGGCGGUUCUAUAAGUCAGUGGUGAAAUACGGCAGCUCAACUGUCGAGGUGCCAUUGAUACUGAAGAACUUGAGUACAGACGAGGUAGGCGGAAUUGACGGUAGCGGUGAAAUGCUUAGAUAUCGUCAAGAACACCGAUAGCGAAGGCAGCUUACUAGACUGUAACUGACGCUGAGGCACGAAAGUGUGGGGAUCAAACAGGAUUAGAUACCCUAGUAGUCC